GACGAACGCUGGCGGCGUGCCUAAUACAUGCAAGUGGGACGCAAGAGGACACACUGUGCUUGCACACCGUGUUUUCUUGAGUCGCGAACGGGUGAGUAACGCGUAGGUAACCUGCCUAUUAGCGGGGGAUAACUAUUGGAAACGAUAGCUAAUACCGCAUAAUAUUAAUUAUUGCAUGAUAAUUGAUUGAAAGAUGCAAGCGCAUCACUAGUAGAUGGACCUGCGUUGUAUUAGCUAGUUGGUAAGGUAAGAGCUUACCAAGGCGACGAUACAUAGCCGACCUGAGAGGGUGAUCGGCCACACUGGGACUGAGACACGGCCCAGACUCCUACGGGAGGCAGCAGUAGGGAAUCUUCGGCAAUGGACGAAAGUCUGACCGAGCAACGCCGCGUGAGUGAAGAAGGUUUUCGGAUCGUAAAGCUCUGUUGUAAGUCAAGAACGUGUGUGAGAGGGAAAGUUCACACAGG
RNAcentral lists this ribosomal RNA (467 nucleotides) under Streptococcus mutans. RNAcentral's name for it is "bacterial SSU rRNA". It matches the Rfam family "Bacterial small subunit ribosomal RNA", at positions 28 to 472 of the family's 1533-position model. Lineage: Bacteria; Bacillati; Bacillota; Bacilli; Lactobacillales; Streptococcaceae. The record is from RNAcentral.